UACGUGGGGACCGAGCGUUGUCCGGAAUCAUUGGGCGUAAAGAGCGUGUAGGCGGCUCGCUAAGUCUUGCGUGAAAUCUCGGGGCUCAACCCCGAGCGGUCGUGAGAAACUGGCGGGCUAGAGUGCGGGAGAGGAGAGUGGAAUUCCUGGUGUAGCGGUGAAAUGCGCAGAUAUCAGGAAGAACACCCGUGGCGAAGGCGGCUCUCUGGAACGCAACUGACGCUGAGACGCGAAAGCGUGGGGAGCAAACAGG
This 253-nucleotide ribosomal RNA is filed under the name uncultured bacterium. Its description in RNAcentral is "partial 16S ribosomal RNA". It matches the Rfam family "Bacterial small subunit ribosomal RNA", at positions 524 to 776 of the family's 1533-position model. The record is from RNAcentral.